UACGUAGGGUGCGAGCGUUGUCCGGAAUUACUGGGCGUAAAGAGUUCGUAGGCGGUUUGUCGCGUCGUUUGUGAAAACCCGGGGCUCAACUUCGGGCUUGCAGGCGAUACGGGCAGACUUGAGUGUUUCAGGGGAGACUGGAAUUCCUGGUGUAGCGGUGAAAUGCGCAGAUAUCAGGAGGAACACCGGUGGCGAAGGCGGGUCUGCUGGGCCAAGACUGACGCUGAGGCGCGACAGCGUGGGGAGCAAACAGG
RNAcentral lists this ribosomal RNA (254 nucleotides) under uncultured bacterium. Its description in RNAcentral is "partial 16S ribosomal RNA". It matches the Rfam family "Bacterial small subunit ribosomal RNA", at positions 524 to 776 of the family's 1533-position model. The record is from RNAcentral.